This 208-nucleotide unclassified non-coding RNA is filed under the name Hevea brasiliensis (rubber tree). Lineage: Eukaryota; Viridiplantae; Streptophyta; Magnoliopsida; Malpighiales; Euphorbiaceae. The record is from RNAcentral.
AUUUUAAGUGCACAAAGCCCUUGCUUCAAUAAACACGCUUCGCUUAGUAUAUGUAAAAGUGCUUUCCUAUGCGUCGCUACGCUUUAGUGAGCGCUUUUUGCGCUUUUGUCUACACUGGUCUGAAAACCAAACACGAACACAGGUAUGGAAUGAUACUGUCAAUUUCUUAUCUCCACAAGAAAAUAUCAGUUCCUAGCUAGUCAACUCA